Molecule: ribosomal RNA, 251 nt
Filed under: uncultured bacterium
Lineage: Bacteria
Description: partial 16S ribosomal RNA
Rfam family: Bacterial small subunit ribosomal RNA
Source: RNAcentral
AGGCGGCGACGCGGAGCGAAUCCCAAAAAUACGCGCCCCACGUUCGGAUUGUAGUCUGCAACCCGACUACAUGAAGCCGGAAUCGCUAGUAAUCGCGGAUCAGAAUGCCGCGGUGAAUACGUUCCCGGGUCUUGUACACACCGCCCGUCACACCAUGGGAGUCGGGAAUGCCCGAAGUCAGUGACCCAACCUUAGGGAGGGAGCUGCCGAAGGCAGGCCUGGUGACUGGGGUGAAGUCGUAACAAGGUAUC